Molecule: unclassified non-coding RNA, 310 nt
Filed under: plant metagenome
Description: partial contains 5.8S ribosomal RNA, internal transcribed spacer 2, and large subunit ribosomal RNA
Rfam family: 5.8S ribosomal RNA (bases 1-105)
Source: RNAcentral
GAAAUGCGAUAGGUAAUGUGAAUUGCAGAAUUCAGUGAAUCAUCGAAUCUUUGAACGCACAUUGCGCCCCUUGGUAUUCCAUGGGGCAUGCCUGUUCGAGCGUCAUUUGUACCCUCAAGCUCUGCUUGGUGUUGGGUGUUUGUCCCCGUCUCCGCGCGUGGACUCGCCCCAAAGUGAUUGGCAGCCGGCGUACUGGUCCCGGAGCGCAGCACAUGUCGCGCAAACGAGUGCCUUGGUACGGCGGCGUCCAUAAGCCCCUCUCUCACGCUCUUGACCUCGGAUCAGGUAGGGAUACCCGCUGAACUUAAGC